UACGGGAGGCAGCAGUGGGGAAUAUUGCACAAUGGGCGAAAGCCUGAUGCAGCUAUGCCGCGUGUAUGAAGAAGGCCUUAGGGUUGUAAAGUACUUUCAUCGGGGAGGAAAAACAAAACUAAUAAUUUUAUUUCUUGACGUUACCCGAAAAAGAAGCACCGGCUAACUCCGUGCCAGCAGCCGCGGUAAUACGGAGGGUGCUAGCGUUAAUCAGAAUUACUGGGCGUAAAGAGCACGUAGGUGGUUUUUUUAAAGUCAGAUGUGAAAUCCCUGGGCUUAACCUGGAACUGCAUUUUGAAACUGAAAUACUAGAGUAUCGUAGAGGGAGGUAGAAUUCUAGGUGUAGCGGUGAAAAUGCGUAGAUAUCUGGAGGAAUACCUGUGGCGAAAGCGGCCUCCUAAACGAAUACUGACACUGAGGUGCGAAAAGCGUGGGGAGCAAACAGGGAUUAGAUACC
This 457-nucleotide ribosomal RNA is filed under the name uncultured bacterium. RNAcentral describes it as "bacterial SSU rRNA". It matches the Rfam family "Bacterial small subunit ribosomal RNA", at positions 340 to 786 of the family's 1533-position model. The record is from RNAcentral.